AUUGAACGCUGGCGGCAUGCCUUACACAUGCAAGUCGAACGGUAACAGGUCUUCGGAUGCUGACGAGUGGCGAACGGGUGAGUAAUACAUCGGAACGUGCCCGAUCGUGGGGGAUAACGGAGCGAAAGCUUUGCUAAUACCGCAUACGAUCUACGGAUGAAAGCAGGGGACCGCAAGGCCUUGCGCGGACGGAGCGGCCGAUGGCAGAUUAGGUAGUUGGUGGGAUAAAAGCUUACCAAGCCGACGAUCUGUAGCUGGUCUGAGAGGACGACCAGCCACACUGGGACUGAGACACGGCCCAGACUCCUACGGGAGGCAGCAGUGGGGAAUUCUGGACAAUGGGCGAAAGCCUGAUCCAGCCAUGCCGCGUGCAGGAUGAAGGCCUUCGGGUUGUAAACUGCUUUUGUACGGAACGAAAAGACUCUUUCUAAUAAAGAGGGUCCAUGACGGUACCGUAAGAAUAAGCACCGGCUAACUACGUG
Molecule: ribosomal RNA, 482 nt
Filed under: uncultured bacterium
Lineage: Bacteria
Description: partial 16S ribosomal RNA
Rfam family: Bacterial small subunit ribosomal RNA
Source: RNAcentral